GGGUUUGAUAGGAAUUGACAUUUUCCUUCAAAGCUGUGAUUUGCUGAGGACUUGUGGUACCUUUACAUUAAAAUAGUAUCUGAGAGUUAAAAAAAGUGAGGGUGGGGGGGAAGUUGCUGAGCCGAUAUUCAACCUCCCUUAAUAAAUGCAUCUGAGCUUACAUUUUUCCCUUCUGAUGUGUCAGCUGGGGAUUCUCUUCCAUUUUCUACACACAUGGGCACUGCUUAAAUCAUUCUGAUUUCUCUCCCAGGCAGACUUCUGCCGAAGAAACUUUUCACACCUUAAGAUAAUAAAGCCCCCAGUUAGAAGGGUGGAAGUGGCAACCGGCUUGAAAUUUCAGGAGAGAAGAGUAGGUCAUUGCAGAGAAAUAAAGAGCUUGCCAGCUCCAGGAAGCGCAAUGAGUACAUUGGAAGUAUGAUUUUUGAAUUCAUUUUGUCUUUCCUUGGCCUUGGAGGUGUUAACAGCACCGUUGGCCUAGCUUUUUCUUUUCCCUGGUUCAGGGCAGCUAUAAUAAGGAGCAAGGUUGGCAAAAGGAGUGGGAGAGAAAGGAAAGAAGUACUUUUGUGUCCAAAUCACUUUGAUUCUAUUGCUUGUUGGAUCUGAAAUUUAUUCAGGGUGACUGUAAAAGUUGAAGGAGCAAACCAUUAAUGGACCAUUGAAAUAUGUAAGCAAUACGUGGAAGUCUUGUUUCCCCAGGCCAGACUCAGAUGAGGUCAAGGCUUUUGUCCUUUGAUGGCAUUUGUCUCUAGGAACCCAUUCCCUUUUCUAGCUCGGAUUCCAGGCAUUGGAAUCCUGGGGUCACUGAUGCUUCACAUGCUUUUACUUCAAGUUCUGGUGUAGGCUUCCACUGCUUUGAUCUGAAUUUUGUUCCUACUGGUGUUGUCCCUGUGUC
This 892-nucleotide long non-coding RNA is filed under the name Homo sapiens (human). RNAcentral describes it as "non-protein coding lnc-INO80D-5:1". Lineage: Eukaryota; Metazoa; Chordata; Mammalia; Primates; Hominidae. The record is from RNAcentral.